AUUAGGCCAUCCUUGAAUUUUUAUACUUGCAAAGCUAUAUACCCACACAAAAUGUGAAAUCGAAGCAUAAGUACUCAGAAAAAAUUUAAAGCUUAAAUUGCGGUUCUUAAAAAGUGAAAUGAAGAGAAGCUACCAGACACCACAAGUUAUGCUCAUACUACAGCAAACAAAAUAGCAAAAGCACCGCAUGUUAUGAAUGCAACGGUUUGAGGUACCUUCUUCAAAUAAUUGCUGCAAAAAGAAGUCUGUGACUCAGUUACCCCAAACUGCAAACAAAACCUGGCUAUGAGCAUAACUGGCCUACAGUCCUGGCCAUUUGGCAGCACAGGCUCUAUUACCCUUUUCAUAUGGAGCUCUCUGAAUUUCCUCAACCUCUCCUCCCUCUUCUGGGCGGCCAACUCCUCAGCUGCAGUGGGCGCAGAUUCCUCGUCGGAGCUGGCAGAAGAGGCCUAGAACAACAAACGUGAGUUAUUUGAUUUGAUUUAAAGGAGGGAGGUUUGCAUCCAGGGCUCGACAGCACAAUGUUUUGAACCAGGGUAUCAGAGACGGUGCCACCACCUCCCUCCAACCUACCCCCAGACU
This is a long non-coding RNA of Mauremys reevesii (Reeves's turtle), 582 nucleotides long. RefSeq lists it as uncharacterized. Lineage: Eukaryota; Metazoa; Chordata; Testudines; Geoemydidae. The record is from RefSeq and is a predicted model, not a curated record. The transcript has 3 exons.